CAAACCUCUGCGCCACCCAGGGAUCCCUAUUCAUAUAUUUUAAAGGUGAGAACCUACUAGAAUUCCUGGAGAUAAAACCCAUGAAAAUGCGGUGGAUCAUCUGAGACUUGGCUCCUCACUCAAGCUAGUCCAAUUCAGCCUCCAGCAAUUCACUGAGGUUAUCAUUUAUGUAUUUCUACCACAUAAACGGCUUCUGUUCAGGUAUCCUGCUCAGGUGAAGCCAUUAAAGGAUCUCUGGUCUAGCAAGUCUCUACUCAUCAGACAGGGAAGGAGGAACUUCUGCUGACCAGGGUGGCACUUAGGAAUCUGAGGAUACUCAAAGUUAUUGUGAAACCUCCCUUGACCUGUGAGCCAGCCUUCAGAAGAAGAGGCAGCUGGGAAUCAUUGCCCUGGGGAUGCUCUGGGAUCCAGAACAGGGGUAGUCUAGUAUUGAAUCUCCUGGAUGGGAAGAAAGCGACUCAACUGCUCUGCGUUUCACACUUUAACAACACCCCUUCCCAUAUUCCACCAGAGUAGGAUAACGAACUCUGCCAUUCCAAGGAAGCCUAUGAAGUUGUGCACUUUUCAGAACUGAUCCAUCCAGUUUACUACUACACAUUUCAGAUUCAAAGCAUGGAUUCUAAACCUCAGGGGACACAAAUGAGAGCGCUCUUACCUUUUUUAUAAAGUUGUCUAUCAAUUCAAAGCUGGAGGAAUUAGGUGGACAAAGAAUGCAUGGGGCUACACUCUCUGAUAAAUUAUAAGCUGUCAUCUGAUUGGAUGAAGAUUGUUGCUCAAUGUUGUAUAACCCUCCAAAAAGGUAUCACAAGAGAACAACAUUCGCUUUUGGCAGCUGGGCUAGAAGCCUAAAGUCAGAAAGAUACACUUUUGAAUAAGGCAAGUCAUUGCACUUAGGAAGCUGGAAGUAUAGAGAUGUAGAACGGAGAACAUCUUUCUAGAUCUAGUUCACAACCUGCUAUAGCAGAGUUCGAGGCAUGAAUGUAUACGAAAAUGUUUCACUGAAUUCGAUUUCUGAGCUAAUCCACUCUGGUUAAAUGUUUGACAAACGUAAGGUUAUACCACGGGCUGUUGAUGCUCUAGGAUCUCCCUUAGGCCAGUGAGUUUUGUCUACCAGUUUCAUAUAUUCAGAAGGUGUACAAUGGCUAAGGAUUCUACAUUAAUAAGGUCAGGCAAAGAGCAAUAAUAGCCAUAAGGCAUGCCUGUAUUCUGAAACAUUCCUCCAUGGGUCUGAAGAAUUAAAACUCUUUGGCUUUGAUUGUUACUUUAGUGGACAAAGUGGCAAAUGUAAACCAAUCUUUUCCUAAAAGUAUAUUGCCUGUAUUUCUGAGACAUGACCAGAGUAGAGAAAUUAUUGCAUCAUUACCUCUGGGCUGCAUUUAUUUUCUCCUCCUCAGUCACUUCAUCAAAAACACCAAGCCAUUUAUCAUAGAGGUCGGAUAAAAGUAAACUUCCUUGGAUAUUUAGAAGAAAAUACUAUGUAGAUAAAAAAUACACGCACGCACACACACACACACACACACACACAUAUAUUGGAAAUAUUACAGAGAAAACACUUAGUUGAAAACUUCAGUUAAGUCCCUACUUCCUUCAUAGAUACCCAAACUGUGACCCACACGGAGCUCAGCUCUGACUCUCCAUUGACGUGCACAUGAGAAAGCAGGUGUGUGGAUUUUCUCCAACAAAAACGAAAGCAUCAAAGCAGAGCCUAGGCUUUAGUGGAAAUGAAGACAAAGCUCCGUUCUAGCAUAUGGCACUUACUCUUUUGUGUGCUUUUUUGCAAACUACUAAAAAAACUACUCUCAUAAUUGCAUCAUUCUUCCUUUCAAUCACUGUAUCAGAUAGUCUAAUGGCAAACUCAUGAUGGUCCUGAGGAUAUAUUCAUUUCUAGUGUAGGCCAAUUCUCCAGAUAGUUUGACAUGAUACUAUUCAGGCCAAGGUUGCAGAGUCUGAUUCUCCACAAAGAUUAGUCAACUUUAGGAAGGGAAAACUUUAGAAAUGUCUAAGAACUCUACAUACUCUUGGUCACCAUCUUCCUAGUCUGUGAUUAUAACACAGAAAUAGAAAAGACCCUACUAAGUCUUGCUAGAAACAUCAAUUCCAUGUGUGCAGCUUAAAGAGGGCACACUUACCAUGCUAUUCAAGUACUUAAUGUAUCAUCAUUCUUUCCUCUUUCUCUUGUUGUCUAUACAUAUAUUUACUGGUGUGUUUUACUAUAGCCCAGUGUAGUAGUGGUCAGGGACUAUUGGUAUCUAUCAUAGAGUUGAACAGUAAUGGGGGACAAGGAAGGACCAAAUAUGACCUUGAUUCUAAGGGUGUCCUCAUUACUGCCUUAACAUAGUUUUGUUCAGAGCUGUUAGCAAGUGCCAAGGUAGAUGGAUUAAAUUGUUUGUUCUAGUUCUCACUUCUUUCUCCAUUUCCCUUUUAGGAAUAGAACUGGAUAUCUGUGAAUUAGCUGUAUAAUUUCAAAAAUCUAUUUUUUGAGUCAAUCUAUUGAAUUUUAAGAAUCGAAACUAUUUUUGUCUGUUGUGCCUACUCCAAAAGUUAGAUUUAUCAAAAGAGGCAUGUAGCUAGAGCUGGUUACCGUGUCGUUAUAACCUUGGAUGGUGGGAUAGACAUCUCAAAUAUUAAUAAAAGGAUGCUUAGGAUGUGGUGAAAGCAGACACAAAUGGUAAAAUCCUUCCUCCCUGACUUAUAAAGUAAAAGGCAUUAAGAGACAGGAGAAAAUGAUGCUUAAGAAUGAUUGCCUCACUGAGCCUUUUUGGAUUCCUCAUAAAGUAAACACUUGCUUACUAUUGUAAUCUUCUAUGUCUAUUCUCAAAUGUUUCAUAUGAUUUUUCUUUUGGAAACUGCCUGCAUUAGGAGGGUGGUGAGGAUGUCAUCAAAAGCAGGAUGUUUGCUUUGUAAACAUUAUGUAUGUGCCAGUGGAUAUUUUGAAAUUUCUUAUUAUUACUAGUAGUCAUAUUAAUAUUAGUAUUUUGCAUGGGGUCUUCAGGCGGGUGGUGAAUGGUGAAAACAGAAUAUAUUUCUAAUGUAUGGGGCUUUUAAAUCCUACAGUAGCUUCCUUAAAUUUUGAUUUCAUGAAGUGUUUUCCAGUGUGUCAAGUUCUUAAUCAGUUAUGCCUAUGAUGGUUCCUGGGCAAUCAUAAUGAAAGACACCAAUCACACCUUGAGUUAUUCAUGUGUGGAUAAAGCUAGAACUUUCCCCACCUUUAAAACAGAUGCUACCACAAGAACAGAUUCACUGUCCAAGUUCACUCUGUCCCCAGAAUUUAGUUUCUCCUUUAGGAUUCUGCAUGAUUUUCUACUUCCUGAUUUUCUGAAGAUGCCUUUCGUGAGUGGUCCUUUCUGAUUGAUAAAUGAAAGCAUAUCCUGUAGGAAAAGAAGAAUAGUAUAUGGCAUUUCAUAUCCCAAUCCCAGAGCAAAAGCUUGCUUCCUUUUUGAAAGACCUAGGGAAUGUGACAAUAUGUGGUUUUACAGCUUGGGGGACUAAAGUCAAUUUAGAUUCUUUAGUCAAUGUCUCUCUAUAGUUUCUACCCAAAAAUCCACCUUACAGUCAUACACUGAAACAUUGUAAUCACUUAUUUUAAUAAGAUUUUUUCAUUGAAUUUA
This is a long non-coding RNA of Canis lupus familiaris (dog), 3608 nucleotides long. RefSeq lists it as uncharacterized. The record is from RefSeq and is a predicted model, not a curated record. NCBI's taxonomy places the organism in Eukaryota, Metazoa, Chordata, Mammalia, Carnivora, Canidae. The transcript has 5 exons.